RNAcentral lists this ribosomal RNA (373 nucleotides) under uncultured organism. RNAcentral's name for it is "partial 16S ribosomal RNA". It matches the Rfam family "Bacterial small subunit ribosomal RNA", at positions 527 to 896 of the family's 1533-position model. The record is from RNAcentral.
GUAGGUGGCAAGCGUUGUCCGGAAUUAUUGGGCGUAAAGCGCGCGCAGGCGGUUCGUUUAAGUCUGAUGUGAAAGCCCACGGGCUCAACCGUGGAGGGUCAUUGGAAACUGGAGAACUUGAGUACAGAAGAGGAAAGCGGAAUUCCACGUGUAGCGGUGAAAUGCGUAGAGAUGUGGAGGAACACCAGUGGCGAAGGCGGCUUUCUGGUCUGUAACUGACGCUGAGGCACGAAAGCGUGGGGAGCAAACAGGAUUAGAUACCCUGGUAGUCCACGCCGUAAACGAUGAGUGCUAAGUGUUAGGGGGUUUCCGCCCCUUAGUGCUGCAGCUAACGCAUUAAGCACUCCGCCUGGGGAGUACGGCCGCAAGGCUG